This 467-nucleotide ribosomal RNA is filed under the name uncultured bacterium. RNAcentral describes it as "bacterial SSU rRNA". It matches the Rfam family "Bacterial small subunit ribosomal RNA", at positions 355 to 825 of the family's 1533-position model. The record is from RNAcentral.
UAAGGAAUAUUGGUCAAUGGAGGCAACUCUGAACCAGCCAUGCCGCGUGCAGGAAGAAGGCCCUAUGGGUCGUAAACUGCUUUUGAACAAGAGAAAACCCCGGUACGUGUACUGGGUUGAUAGUAUUGUUAGAAUAAGCAUCGGCUAACUUCGUGCCAGCAGCCGCGGUAAGACGAAGGAUGCAAGCGUUAUCCGGAUUCAUUGGGUUUAAAGGGUGCGUAGGCGGACUGAUAAGUCAGUGGUGAAAUCUCUCGGCUUAACCGAGAAACUGCCAUUGAUACUGUUAGUCUAAAGUACAGAUGAUGUGGGCGGAAUAUGACAUGUAGUGGUGAAAUACUUAGAUAUGUCAUAGAACACCGAUUGCGAAGGCAGCUCACAAAACUGUAACUGACGCUGAGGCACGAAAGUGCGGGGAUCAAACAGGAUUAGAUACCCCUGUAGUCCCUGAGCGGGCUGGCAAGGCGCAU